This 630-nucleotide ribosomal RNA is filed under the name uncultured bacterium. Its description in RNAcentral is "bacterial SSU rRNA". It matches the Rfam family "Bacterial small subunit ribosomal RNA", at positions 35 to 650 of the family's 1533-position model. The record is from RNAcentral.
GCUGGCGGUGCGUUUUAGCAUGCAAGUCGAACGGUAGGGUAGUGCUUGCACUAUCUGAGAGUGGCGAACGGGUGAGUAACGCGUAGAUAAUCUACCCAUUGGUUGGGGAUAGCUCAUGGAAACAUGGGGUAAUACCGGACAAGAUCCUUUUUCCUUCACGGGAAGCAGGAUGAAAGGGGCUUCGGCCUCGCCGAUGGAUGAGUCUGCGUCUGAUUAGCUAGUUGGUGGGGUAAAGGCUCACCAAGGCGACGAUCAGUAGCCGGCCUGAGAGGGUGAUCGGCCACAUUGGGACUGAGACACGGCCCAGACUCCUACGGGUGGCAGCAGCUAAGAAUCUUCCGCAAUGGGCGAAAGCCUGACGGAGCGACACCGCGUGGGCGAUGAAGGCGGAGACGUUGUAAAGUCCUUUUCUCAUAGAAGAAUAAGCUUUUGAGGUAAUGCGAGAGUGAUGACGUUAUAUGAGGAAUAAGCUCCGGCCAAUUACGUGCCAGCAGCCGCGGUAAUACGUAAGGAGCGAGCGUUGUUCGGAAUUAUUGGGCGUAAAGGGCUCGUAGGCGGUUUGACAAGUCUUUCGUGAAAGACCAGAGCUCAACUCUGGGAACGCGAGGGAAACUGUCAGACUGGAAUCUU